This 624-nucleotide ribosomal RNA is filed under the name Fischerella thermalis PUPCCC 510.3. RNAcentral describes it as "bacterial SSU rRNA". It matches the Rfam family "Bacterial small subunit ribosomal RNA", at positions 106 to 764 of the family's 1533-position model. Lineage: Bacteria; Bacillati; Cyanobacteriota; Cyanophyceae; Nostocales; Hapalosiphonaceae. The record is from RNAcentral.
GUGAGUAACGCGUGAGAAUUUUUUUUCGGAGGGGGGGACAACAUUGGGAAACCGAUGCUAAUACCGGAUGUGCCGAGAGGUGAAAGGCUUGCUGCCUGAAGAAGAGCUCGCGUCUGAUUAGCUAGUUGGUGGUGUAAGGGACUACCAAGGCGACGAUCAGUAGCUGGUCUGAGAGGAUGAUCAGCCACACUGGAACUGAGACACGGUCCAGACUCCUACGGGAGGCAGCAGUGGGGAAUUUUCCGCAAUGGGCGAAAGCCUGACGGAGCAAUACCGCGUGAGGGAGGAAGGCUCUUGGGUUGUAAACCUCUUUUCUCAAGGAAGAAGUAAUGACGGUACUUGAGGAAUCAGCAUCGGCUAACUCCGUGCCAGCAGCCGCGGUAAUACGGAGGAUGCAAGCGUUAUCCGGAAUGAUUGGGCGUAAAGCGUCCGCAGGUGGUUGUGUGUGUCUAUUGUCAAAGCAUCAUGCUUAACAUGAUAAAGGCAGUAGAAACUACACGACUAGAGUGCGUUCGGGGCAGAGGGAAUUCCUGGUGUAGCGGUGAAAUGCGUAGAGAUCAGGAAGAACACCGGUGGCGAAAGCGCUCUGCUAGGCCGCAACUGACACUGAUGACGAUGUUAAGU